This 497-nucleotide ribosomal RNA is filed under the name uncultured bacterium. Its description in RNAcentral is "partial 16S ribosomal RNA". The record is from RNAcentral.
GUAGUUAGCCGGGGCUUUCUUACAGGGUACCGUCACUUCUUCGUCCCCUGCGACAGAGGUUUACAAUCCGAAAACCUUCUUCCCUCACGCGGCGUUGCUGGGUCAGGCUUGCGCCCAUUGCCCAAUAUUCCCCACUGCUGCCUCCCGUAGGAGUCUGGACCGUGUCUCAGUUCCAGUGUGGCCGAUCAGCCUCUCAGCUCGGCUACCCAUCGUCGGCUUGGUGGGCUGUUAUCUCACCAACUACCUAAUGGGACGCGAACCCCUCUAAAAGCGAUAAAUCUUUGACCUCUUCCCGAUGCCGGGUUGUGGUCUUAUGCGGUAUUAGCAGUUGUUUCCACCUGUUAUUCCCCACUCUUAGGCAGGUUGUUCACGCGUUACUCACCCGUGCGCCACUAGAAUUAUCAAUUCCAUCCGAAAACUUCCUUAAUAAUCCCCGUUCGACUUGCAUGUGUUAGGCACGCCGCCAGCGUUCGUCCUGAGCCAUGAUCAAACUCUGA